GCAGAUCUCCAGAGCUAUCCUGCCGCCAUCCCAGAGUGCCCCGUAUAAUGCUCAUGCUUGGAACCCUAUGUCCAAGUUGUAAGGAAGCCCAAGCAGCCCAUAAAGAGGCCCACGUUAAGAAGAACCAGGACCCACAGUCUAAGUGAACUCUCAGCUAAUAGCACCAUUUUGCCAACCAUGAGUCAAACUGGCAGCUUCAAGGACCUUGGCUGAAAUUGGUCCAUUUGGAUAUGUGUGCUUGUUUCUGCAAUGUCCUGAAUGACUGUGGGAAAGGGCUUCACAAGGCUUCAUAAGACACCUGGAUCUCAUAUCUGCUUCUGCAUUCAAUCUGUUGCACCAAGUUGUUUUGACUGAAGGGUAUGAAGAAAAACUGGCCUCAUCCAAAUAUGCGGUUGGAAAAGGGUGGAGUAUUUUAACAGCCCUUCAAAUAAUUGGUCCCAGUGAUCAAGCUUUGUCUCCAGCAUCAUUUUACCCUUUAUUCUUGGAAGGGACACUGGAGGCGACUGAUUCCAACCCCUCGACUUGAAAGUUGAAAGAUGCAAAGCACAGAGCAGGGGAUGACAUGCUCAAGGCCCCAUCACCAGUCGGAGGCAGACCUGCAUAGAACUUGGGACAUAAAUGUAGGCACACACAAAACCCAGAGACAUUCCACCGACAUUUAAAAUCAAGAAUCCUCCCUGAUAUAGUAUGACCUUGUAAAUGAUGCAAAGGGUUUGAACAAUUCAAAACAAACAAACAAACAAAAAAACAGGUCUAGGAUAAGUUUUUUCAAAAUCAUCAAAUAUAAAUUUCAACCCAAUUUUUUAAUUUCAUAAAACCAAGGUUAAAAGAGGUUGAGUGAUUAGUUAAAAGUUAUGGGCAAGUGAUGGUAACGUCAAGCCUCUAAUUCAUAUAUUUGCCAAGCUCUAGCUUUGAAUGAUAUUGUAACUCGAAAGGAAUAAUGUUGUUCUUUUUAGAAAAUAACAUGGUCAUGGUAGACCACUUGGAAAAAUAUACAUAAACAUAAGGACAAAGUGACCCAUACAUUAAAGAUAAUCACUGUUAAUAUUUUUAUUAAAUGAAAAGCAUUACAUGUAACUUUACCUAAGUUUAUCAGAAAAAAAGAAUUAAAGAGGGUCGGUAUGGUGGUUCACGCCUAUAAUCCCAGCACUCUGG
Homo sapiens (human) is the source of this 1155-nucleotide long non-coding RNA. RefSeq lists it as uncharacterized. The transcript has 5 exons. NCBI's taxonomy places the organism in Eukaryota, Metazoa, Chordata, Mammalia, Primates, Hominidae. The record is from RefSeq and is a predicted model, not a curated record.